Molecule: long non-coding RNA, 2133 nt
Filed under: Citrus sinensis (sweet orange)
Lineage: Eukaryota; Viridiplantae; Streptophyta; Magnoliopsida; Sapindales; Rutaceae
Description: long non-coding RNA (CSIN_LNC000002)
Source: RNAcentral
CUCUUCUCUUGCUUCAUUUUUGUUAUCAAAUUCUGUAUCAUAUGUGUUAUCUUGUCAAGAAUAUGCAACGGUGCUUUCUAAUAACUUAAGCAGUGAUUAUUUUAGUUUUUCUACCAAAUACUGAAGAUAAGAUCUUUUGCACCUAUUCUAUCUGUAUUCAGUUUCAUAUGAUUUCCCAUUAAUAUAGAGAAAGAUUAGCCCUAAAAGAUUUCAGCAAUAAGUUUAAUUAGUUUCAUUCUGUACUAAUGGAUAAACCCCAUGCUUCUGUGACAGGGUUCCUUGUUAUUUGAGUUCUAUUAAAGUUUAUGCAUGUUUUCAAAUGUUAGUUAACCUUUUUGGCUUUCUCAAAAUCUUGCCUUUGAUCAACAGUGUUGGACUGUACUAAGACUCCACGGAUUGUGCUUUUACCAAUGUAUUAUUACAGACAGUUAAAAAGUAUUUUUGUUUUUCCAUGAUUCGGGUGGCUGCUAAAUAUAGAACAUUCUGGAAAUUAAGUUGGCUGCGAAACUUGUGCAGCUCUCUUAUAACCAUAUUGUCAGUAUGUCAUUGUAGAAAACAAAUUGUUGUACAAUGAAAAUAUUCUUCAACCAUUUCAAUCACUGAGAUUAUUUAUUAUUUCUCCUUAAUAUCUAUUUUGCUGCCAGGGAUUUUAUGUGGAACAAUAUAAAUGGCAUCAUAUCAAAUGAGAUGGGCAAAUCUGCUUUAAGUUAGAGUUUCGUGGUUCAGACUUGUUGUCAAAUAUUCAUUUUGUUGAUUAAAGCUUUAACUAAUAUUUUCAUAAAGGAUUCUUAAUGCACAAUGAGUAUUGUUUGUACUUUAAGCUGGUGGCAAGCCGUGCUUAAUUUUUUAACUGCAGUUAUAUGAACAACAAUUUCAAUCAGUGGUCAAAUCUAGUGGAGCUUUCAGCAUUAACUGAACUUCAACACUUUUGAGUUUAAUAAUACUUUUCUUCUGUUGUUUUCUUCAAUACAGUUGAAAUUUAGCAUCUUUUAUUUUCUUCCACUAGAAUUUUCUUACAGAUACCUGUGAAGCCAAGAUUAGUUAUAAUCUGUUAUGGACAUGCUGAGGUGUCAUAUGAGCUGGCAUAAGUGAGAUCCUAGUCAAGAGUUAGUUAGUUAGUUAAUCAACUGACUGACUCAUUGCAAGUGGAAACACACGUGAGAAGCUUACAUAUAUAAGUUGUCUCUAAGCUAGUGAUACAUUGAGAGAACGUUUCAAAAAGGACACAGGAGAGGACUGGUCAAAGAUAUCUCACAUUCGUGACAUUCAAAUUGAUCAUGAAUAUGGGCAAGGAUUUGGAUUCGAUAACAGAACCACAGGUAUUUUCUUCUCUUUCUUCUUUAAUAUAUUAGUUAUUUGAAAUUGAAAACCUUAAAAUAGCAAAUUCUGAAUCAAUUUCUGUCACAUGACAUAGUCUGGACUCUGGAAGCGGCUGCAGUUUUUAUUUUAAUUGUUUGAAUCUCUGCUUUCAUCCAAUUAUUUCUAUCAUGAUCUUGAAGAUGUGUAACUAUUUGCAUUAAUAUUAAUUUUUGGUGUUCACAACAAAAUACCUUACAACAAUGUUAGUUUGUUUGGUAUAUUAUUGUUCUGUUAAGUGAAAGAGUUUAUGCUAUCUAAGUCCUAGCCUAGUUGCAUGUGUAGGGUUUUGGGUUCAAUUUUCAUUCGUGUAGGGUUUUGUUUUCAAUUUUCAUUCAUGGCUAUAAAAGAGUUGAAAAUGUACAGAGUACUUCAUCUUCAAGAUCCAAAUUUGAAGUUCUACUUUACUGUCAUUGCAACACUUUUGUAGGUACGAGCAGAAGUAUCCAAGUGUUAAAAAGAUAGUCUUCAUAAGAAAAAUGUUUUUGCAGGUACUCUCUUCUCUUGCUUCAUUUUUGUUAUCAAAUUCUGUAUCAUAUGUGUUAUCUUGUCAAGAAUAUGCAACGGUGCUUUCUAAUAACUUAAGCAGUGAUUAUUUUAGUUUUUCUACCAAAUACUGAAGAUAAGAUCUUUUGCACCUAUUCUAUCUGUAUUCAGUUUCAUAUGAUUUCCCAUUAAUAUAGAGAAAGAUUAGCCCUAAAAGAUUUCAGCAAUAAGUUUAAUUAGUUUCAUUCUGUACUAAUGGAUAAACCCCAUGCUUCUGUGACAGGGUUCCUU